GGUGGUGUAGCUCAGGGCUACAGUACUUGCCUGUGGUACAUGGGACCCUGGGUUUGAUCCCAGCACCACAA
This 71-nucleotide transfer RNA is filed under the name Fukomys damarensis (Damara mole-rat). It matches the Rfam family "tRNA". From Rfam's summary of the family: Transfer RNA (tRNA) molecules are approximately 80 nucleotides in length. The record is from Rfam by way of RNAcentral. Lineage: Eukaryota; Metazoa; Chordata; Mammalia; Rodentia; Bathyergidae.